Molecule: ribosomal RNA, 440 nt
Filed under: uncultured bacterium
Lineage: Bacteria
Description: partial 16S ribosomal RNA
Rfam family: Bacterial small subunit ribosomal RNA
Source: RNAcentral
CCUACGGGUGGCAGCAGUGGGGGAUAUUGCACAAUGGGGGGAACCCUGAUGCAGCGACGCCGCGUGGGUGAAGAAGCGCCUCGGCGCGUAAAGCCCUGUCAGCAGGGAAGAAAAUGACGGUACCUGAAGAAGCAGCCCAGGCUAACUACGUAACAGCAACCUCGGUAAUACGUAGGGUGCAAGCGUUAUCCGGAUUUACUGGGGGUAAAGGGGGCGCAGACGGGGAUGCAAGCCAGUAGUGAAGGCCCAGGGCCCAACCCGGGGACUGCGCUUGGAACUGCGUGGCUGGAGUGCAGGAGGGGCAGGCGGAAUUCCUGGUGUAGCGGUGAAAUCCGUAGAUAUCCGGAGGAACAUCAGUGGCGAAGGCGACUAUCUGGCACAUAACUGACGCUGAGGAGCGAAAGCGUGGGUAGCAAACAGGAUUAGAUACCCGGGUAGUC